GGCAGUCCAGCCGCAGGGGCCACCCGAACAGUCUCUCCUCCUCACAGAAGCCUGGAGCUGGGCAUCCAAGAAGAAGCAGCCUCAUUUGUUUUCUGGUGUCAUCGUAGGUGGCCACCUAUGGCUUUUGGGAAUGUAAAAAGGGCAGCUCUCUGGCAUGUUCCUGACUGAGGAUCUCAUAACAUUUAACUUGAGGAACUUCCUCCUUUUCCAGCUUUGGGAGUCAAGCUUCUCACCUGGGGCGGGUGGGUUCUGCACCACCCUCCCACCCUCCUUCCUCCGUGUGGACGAUAGAGCCACAUCCAGCACCACGGACAGCUCCCGGGCGAUCCCAUGGGAGUAGAAGAGGUGUGAGCAGGUUGCCCAGCUGGUUAGCGGAAAUGCCAAGAUCCAGGCUCCUGAAUUUCAGCCUGGCCCUUUCUAUCUGUCUGAUACCUCCUUUACGAGUCUCUCUGCCUGCGUUGUGUGGAGCGGGCCUGCUGCUGGUUGGGGGAGUUUGCAGGUUGCCCCUAUGCAAAAAAGGACAGGAUGCAUGACUGGCAUCCUUCAUCUCCUCGUCCUCCAGGCAGCACAAGCCAUUGUGGAAUCUCCACCAGGUGUACAGAACGGUGCCUCUGCGUCCUGCCACUCAGGACCUCUCAAGUCCCCGAUGUGAUGGCUCCUCAGCAUGAUCAGGAGAAAUUCCAUGAUCUUGCUUAUUCCUGUCUUGGGAAGUCCUUCUCCAUGUCUAACCAAGAUCUAUAUGGCUAUAGCACCAGCUCUUUGGCUCUUGGCUUGGCAUGGCUAAGUUGGGAGACCAAAAAGAAGAAUGUACUUCAUCUGGUUGGGCUGGAUUCCCUCUGAUAAGCCUUCCCAGUUGACUGAAAGAUGAGGCUAGGCUCUAGCAAGUUGAAGUCAAACCAGCUCCUUCAAGAAGCUUUGAGCAGAAUGAAGUGGGGAGGACCCAGCUUCCAGCCCAGGAAGCCCACUGUACCUGGAGCCAUCUGGGAUAAGACUUUGACCCAUGACUCCCAUAUCCACAGCCUGUCCAUCCUAGCCCAUCCCAGUUUAUCCUGUAUCAUUUGAGCUGGGAUUCCCACAUCCUCUGAGUUGGAAGUCCCAUCUCAAGUCUUCAAUAAAGACUCUUGAAUAUUGAAUCACA
This is a long non-coding RNA of Homo sapiens (human), 1138 nucleotides long. Ensembl annotates it as MIR9-1 host gene. Its record names the gene MIR9-1HG. NCBI's taxonomy places the organism in Eukaryota, Metazoa, Chordata, Mammalia, Primates, Hominidae. The record is from Ensembl.